CAUAGCGACUAUCGUGGCAUAUCAAUAAGCGGAGGAAAAGAAACUAACAAGGAUUCCCUUAGUAACGGCGAGUGAAGCGGGAAGAGCUCAAAUUGAAAUCUUCAAGGUUCUACCUUGACGAAUUGUAGUUUAAAGAAGUGUUUUCUGUUGGAGUUUUGGUAAAAGUUCUUUGGAAUAGGACAUCAUAGAGGGUGAGAAUCCCGUAUUUGACCAUUACUUUCCAGCUGUGUGAUACACUUUCAAAGAGUCGGAUUGUUUGGGAAUGCAGUCCAAAAUGGGUGGUAAAUUUCAUCUAAAGCUAAAUAUUGGCGAGAGACCGAUAGCGAACAAGUACCGUGAGGGAAAGAUGAAAAGAACUUUGAAAAGAGAGUUAAACAGUACGUGAAAUUGUCAAAAGGGAAGCGUUUGACACCAGUGUUGUUUAGUUGAAAAUCAAUUCAAUAAUUUUUGAUUUUAAGUAGUAUUGACUUCAUCAGCUUGCUGCUUUCUUUUCAGGAAUUAUUGAAUGCACUUUUCAGUUAACAAGUCAACAUCAAUUUCUUUUGUUGUAAAAGGGUAAGAGGAAGGUGGCUUACGCUUCGGCGUAAGUGUUUAUAGCCUUUUACCUCUGCAAUCGGAGAGAUUGAGGACAGCAGCGUAGACUCUUCGGGGUUAGAUACACUUGUGCUAAGCUAUAGCCUUGUAUAGACAACUUGUUGACUAUGCUCAGUCAUGUAGCUUACUCGCUUGUGCUAUUUUACCUACGCUUAGGAUGUUGACGAGACUGUCGAUCUC
RNAcentral lists this ribosomal RNA (774 nucleotides) under uncultured Neocallimastigales. Its description in RNAcentral is "partial large subunit ribosomal RNA". It matches the Rfam family "Eukaryotic large subunit ribosomal RNA", at positions 22 to 646 of the family's 3401-position model. The record is from RNAcentral. Lineage: Eukaryota; Fungi; Neocallimastigomycota; Neocallimastigomycetes; Neocallimastigales.